RNAcentral lists this ribosomal RNA (119 nucleotides) under Helianthus annuus (common sunflower). The record is from RNAcentral. Lineage: Eukaryota; Viridiplantae; Streptophyta; Magnoliopsida; Asterales; Asteraceae.
GGUUGCGAUCAUACCAGCAUAAUGCACUGGAUCCCAUCAGAACUCCGCAGUUAAUCAUGCUUAGGCGAGAUUGGUACUAGGAUCGGUGACCCCUUGUGAAAUCCUCCUAUUGCAUCCUU